This 424-nucleotide ribosomal RNA is filed under the name Verrucomicrobiota bacterium. RNAcentral's name for it is "Verrucomicrobia bacterium partial 16S ribosomal RNA". It matches the Rfam family "Bacterial small subunit ribosomal RNA", at positions 355 to 776 of the family's 1533-position model. Lineage: Bacteria; Pseudomonadati; Verrucomicrobiota. The record is from RNAcentral.
UGAGGAAUAUUGGUCAAUGGACGCAAGUCUGAACCAGCCAAGUAGCGUGCAGGAUGCCGGACCUAUGGGUUGUAAACUGCUUUUAUAUGGGGAUAAAGUGGGGAACGUGUUCCCUUUUGCAGGUACCAUAUGAAUAAGGACCGGCUAAUUCCGUUCCAGCAGCCGCGGUAAUACGGAAGGUUCGGGCGUUAUCCGGAUUCAUUGGGUUUAAAGGGAGCGUAGGCCGUUUGGUAAGCGUGUUGUGAAAUGUAGGAGCUCAACUUCUAGAUUGCAGAGCGAACUGUCAGACUUGAGUGCGCACAACGUAGGCGGAAUGCAUGGUGUAGCGGUGAAAUGCUUAGAUAGCAGGAAGAACUCCGAUUGCGAAGGCAGCUUACGGGAGCGCUACUGACGCUGAAGCUCGAAGGUACGGGUAUCGAACAGG